AUGCUUGCUCCGGCAGGUCGGUUGGCGCUUACACAAUCUGUGUUAAUGGCGAUGCCUAUGCAUUUUCUCUCUGUUUUGCCGUUGCCGGCAUGGGCGCUGGAUAUCAUCAACAGAGGAUGUAGGGGAUUCAUUUGGAAAGGGGAAAAUGAGAUUAGUGGUGGUCAUUGCCUCCUGCCUUGGGCUAGAGUGUGUAUGCCAAAGGAGUGUGGAGGCUUGGGCAUUCUGAACUUGAAGUGGUUUGGCUUGGCUUUGCGUUGCCGAUGGCCUUGGCUGCAUUGGGACCCAGAAGAGCGACUGUGGCACAAGUUGCCUGAUGGAUAG
RNAcentral lists this ribosomal RNA (321 nucleotides) under Triticum aestivum (bread wheat). Its description in RNAcentral is "partial small subunit ribosomal RNA". Lineage: Eukaryota; Viridiplantae; Streptophyta; Magnoliopsida; Poales; Poaceae. The record is from RNAcentral.